Molecule: transfer RNA, 80 nt
Filed under: Pseudactinobacillus ducreyi
Lineage: Bacteria; Pseudomonadati; Pseudomonadota; Gammaproteobacteria; Pasteurellales; Pasteurellaceae
Also listed under: 1 other name
Description: [Haemophilus] ducreyi tRNA-Val
Rfam family: tRNA
About the family: Transfer RNA (tRNA) molecules are approximately 80 nucleotides in length. Their secondary structure includes four short double-helical elements and three loops (D, anti-codon, and T loops).
Source: RNAcentral
GGGCGAUUAGCUCACUCAGUUGGGAGAGCACCUCCCUUACAAGGAGGGGGUCACUGGUUCGAGACCGGUAUCGCCCACCA